ACAGGGGAGACGCAGUGGGACAUGUCCUUCAACUUCGUGGUGUGCAGGUCAACUGCGUGCUGCAUGGUGUCAGCAGUGUCCGAAGCUCUGUGGACCGUGUUGAAGCAACUGUAUCUUCAGCAUCCGCAAGCAGCUGAUAAAUGGCUCAAGGUAUCCGCAGAGAUUGACGAGGGGUGGAACAUGUCACACUGCGUCAGGGCAAUUCAUGGGAAGCAUGCAAAGAUCGAGUGCCCCUGCAGAGUCUGGAACCCUUGACUACAACUACAAGUGCUCGUUCAGCAAAUCGCUCCUUGCUGUCUGCAAUGCACAAUACAAGUUUCUGUACGUGGAAAUUGACCACUGCGGCAGAAAGAGUGACGGGGGCAUUUUUUCACGGUCCACUCUGCAGAAAGAGAAUUCCGGAGAAAGCAUUGCAUGAAGACGCAAGCCAGAUGUACAAGCGGCGAGUUUUCAACUGCCGUUUGAGCAGGGCCCGGCGAGUCAUCGAAAACGCCUCUGACAUCCUGGCACAACAAUGGAGAAUUUUACGGCGAGCAUUCAAAGCCAAGAAUGACAACAUAUACAGAUAUGUUGGAGCCUGCAUAGUGCUGCACAAUUUUUUGGUGACGGAGUCAUCGGCAUCUUCCGCUACAUACUGCCCGGUAGGCUCUACCGACAGUGAGCACUGGGGAGGACGAAUUUCCUCUGGCUGCUGGAGGGAGGAGGAACCAGCCAGUGGUGCCCUCUUGCCAUCCAAACCUACGGCGUGCCACGCUGCUGGAUAUGCGAAAGACGUUCGGGACACGCUGGCACACCAUUUCAUCAUAGCCGGCCAACUUACCUGGCAAGAUAAAAUGGUCGCUACUACUUGAACUGCACAAGGUGUGUUGUCAAGUUCCGCUGCCACCUCCGUCAACUCCAUCAUCGCUUCGAAGCGGGGUUAUUUGAUGGUGGGGACGUCAACUGCCCCUGCACCACUGCGCUGCUUGUCACGCACCUCUUGCUGUUUUAGCUUAAAAAUAUCUUUUAGGUUUUUCAAUGUUUUCUCUGCAGCCGUUCCUGCAAAAUAAAUAAGGAAUCGUACAUGGAAAGAAACAAGAGAUCACGCUAAAUAAAAUGCCAUAAAAAAGCCUCUUCUCUCCGUUUUUUUUUUUUUCUUUUUUACUGUGGUGUGUUACCUGCAAUACUUAAUUAUAUUUUUCACAAUGGUUAUGUAAAUCCCAGAAACGUAGACAAUAUUCCUAGCGGUGCAGCCCCGCGAAUUUUUUUAUAAGAGUGUGCGAAACACCAGUGAAAACAAUACUUUGCCACGCUGUUUCCUUCACUAAUGAACAGACCUUGCUUUUGUUAUCCGCGAGGCUCCGUGGUUCAAGCGAAGUUCCUGGCGCCUCAUGCGCGCUGAUAAAUUUUAUAUGUAAUUU
Molecule: long non-coding RNA, 1400 nt
Organism: Dermacentor andersoni
Lineage: Eukaryota; Metazoa; Arthropoda; Arachnida; Ixodida; Ixodidae
Source: RefSeq, a predicted model, not a curated record